CGCUACAUUCCACGAGUUUCUCAGAACCUUUUUGCCAAUAUCCAAACAAUGUGAGCUAAGCUCGAUGUGGUUAAACUACCAAUUUAAACAAUGUAGUUAUACUGCCAAUCAAUAUGCAGACAAGCUGCCAAUUUUGUGGAUAAGCCACUAGUACAAUAAAUACAGUUUAGAUUGCCAAUCAAUAUGGGAUAAAAUCACUAAUCUCCUUAGUACUCUCAGCGCAGUACACUGAAAAAAAUAAUGCGGAUUGUAAUUGCCGCUGGUACUCUGCGGAACUCCUCCGUCAUCUACAAUAUCUCACCCCAUGCACAUGUAUUAUGACAUACAAGAAACAAGUAAGAUCAUGUUUCCAUUUUAGUCUCAAUUCAAUAGUAUUGUAUACAUGCUUUCAAUUUCUCAUUCAAUUCAGUCCAAUGCCAUGCUUGACAUGCAUACAAUUUCAUAAUCAUUGCAAUGGCAUUUAAUCAUGCUACAAUAACAACUUUAGCGCACAGGCUUUCAAUUAUUCAUACAAUAGUAUCAUAACCAGACAUACAUUUCACACAUUCAAUCAAACAAUAAUUGGUUGUGUGCCAUGUUAUACAUUUAACUAGCAGCCAUUAAUAUCCAUAUCAACCAUUCAAAAUUAUAUCAAUACCAUAAAUACAACUAAUCAGUUAACCAUGACAAUUUUUGCAUUCAUGCUAUUUAGUUAGGGUUUGAUAUGUACCUAGUUUGACCACUUUUAAAUCACUUAUUUAGCCAUUUAAAUAAGCUCGGCUAGCAAGCUUAAACAUUAAUUUAAACACUAAAAAUAUAAUUUUAACACUUAAUUUUAGAAGUUGGAACCCAUACUUUAAAAUCGCAAAACCGCAACACUAUUUUUGC
Molecule: long non-coding RNA, 867 nt
Filed under: Gossypium barbadense (sea-island cotton)
Lineage: Eukaryota; Viridiplantae; Streptophyta; Magnoliopsida; Malvales; Malvaceae
Description: long non-coding RNA (GBAR_LNC006260)
Source: RNAcentral